Molecule: long non-coding RNA, 1402 nt
Organism: Betta splendens (Siamese fighting fish)
Lineage: Eukaryota; Metazoa; Chordata; Actinopteri; Anabantiformes; Osphronemidae
Exons: 2
Source: RefSeq, a predicted model, not a curated record
GGGGGGGGGGUUACGGGGGAACUCACAAAGACUGUAUGAAUAUGAAAGGAGACAAACAAAGCUGAAUAUGGAGUGAGACGCUGGCCGGUCAGGGACGAGCAGAGCGGCGGGAGGACAUUUGAUUAUUUCAUGCGCUUUGAGCUGCAGUGGCUCCUAAUGCAGUCGCUGCCUGUUAUAACAUGUCAGUCACAAAUGGGCAGCAAUCAGGUUUCACCAUAACCAUGAGAAUCUCUCUCUUUAUCCCUCUAGAGGUAAAUCCUAAGAAGCCUAAACCUGCGAAUGUCUCAGCACUUUAUUUGGUUUGUUUGAGUGACAUUAUCUGAUGGCUCCAUCAUCACAAAGCAGCCUCCAUCGAGUAGCUGAUAGUCUUCUAAGCCUGAAUAACUCCAUUAGUGAGGCAGCAUCACAUGCUCUGGAGGCCUGUUAUGAUCCCUGGUCUGACUCUGCCUAGUGGCUCUCGCUUUUCUAACCACGCCCCCUUGUGCAUGACCACGCCCACUCACCUCCAGCCACGCCCCUUGUAUUUAGCCCACUUCCUGCUCCUCCUCUUUGUCUCCCUUCAGCAGUUCUAAUCAUCUAACCCAGUUCACCUGUUCACCAUCCCAUUCACACUUUUUCUGCUGGUUCUUCUGUCCUUCAUGCCACGGGUCCACGUAAACUGCAUCGCUUCAUGAAUCCAUAAAUAUUUUUGUGUUGUGACAUAUCUAUGUAGUUUUGAGUAAUCAUGUUUGUGGUCCUCUUUGAGAAAGCUCAUGUUAUUUUUGAGUAAUCCUGGUCUGAGUGGCUUUAUUUGAGAUACCAUGUUAGAAACCAUGUUUGGAAGAACACAUUAUAUUUAAGAGCCUGUUCCAGACAAGACAUUUUUGUUACUUAAUGCAGGAGAGUCAUUGUGGCUGUUCUUCUAGUCUUGCUGAGGUUUCUCCUGGCCUUUUUCUUAAAACCUUGGCUUCUUAACACCACUCCCACAGACUCCAUUUUACGGCGGAGCCUUGCAGCCGGGGGAAAGGCGACAGGUCUGCAGAGCUGCAGGUCAUGAAGCGCGAUGAGCUCAGGCAGAGGAGGGCGAAUCAGCGCUGUUGUCAUGACAAUAUUGAACACAGUUUCCAUGGAGAACGGCGGCCCGAGCCAUUCCACAGCUGAAUUCAUUUAUGUGAUGCGGUGGAAAAGGGAGCAAUCUGACGUCUAAUCUUUCCUGGAUGAAGAACAAACUUCCUUUAUGCGCAUGUAAUUCAGAGGCCGGCCUAGAAUAGGCUACGUGGAGUUUCCACUAUGCACAAGAGAUGAAGAGUGUCCAUAUAUGAAUUAUUUAUCACUGCUGGACUAUCGUGGCCUAUGAAUUGGAUCAAUGUAUUGAAUUCACUUUGUGCAACUUAUUCCUUUUAGAAUAAAACACUCUCAUUAA